AUGCAACUUAAGCUCACUUUUAGAAGGAAUUUUGAUGGCAGGCUCAUGGAACAGUGGUAUCAGGUAGUGGAGAUAACUAGCAGCCUGACCCUUACCAAUGAAACUGAUGCCCUUGUCUGGCAGCUAGAGAACAGGGGAGUUUACUCCACUAGCUCACUCUACCAUGUGAUUAAUUUUAGGGGGGUGCAACCAGUCUUCAUCCCCUCGGUGUGGAAGCUAAAAAUUCCACCAAAAGUUCAUGUCUUCCUGUGGCUCCUUGCCAACAACAAACUAAUGACCAGGGAUAACCUCAGGAAAAGACAGAUUAUUAAGCCACUUGAGUGUGUGUUCUGCUCUGAGGCUGAAACAUGCUCGCAUUUGUUUUUGACUGUGUGGUCUCUAGACAGAUCUGGCCUCUGGUCUCAAAUCAUUUCGGGGUGGAUACUGGGACUGAUUUCGAAUCAGUGGCCAGACUCUGGAUUGCUAACAGAAAACACUCCGCCCUCAACACAGCUAACGCUGCUGUACUUUGGUGUAUUUGGAAAUAUAGGAACUCUAUGA
Molecule: ribosomal RNA, 540 nt
Filed under: Triticum aestivum (bread wheat)
Lineage: Eukaryota; Viridiplantae; Streptophyta; Magnoliopsida; Poales; Poaceae
Description: partial small subunit ribosomal RNA
Source: RNAcentral